UUAAUUUCGUUUAAAAAAUUGUAUCAGACUUCAGUAAUCCGCGUGGGUUUGCAAUGCCGACCCGCGGCCGACAGGCGGUACCCCGCCGGAUUAACGGUGGGGGCGCCCGAGAGCCAAGGGCCGAAACGAUGUGAGUUGCUUUCGCGUCUCAUGACAAAGGGCGGGUGAGUGGACGCGAGAUCCUAAACCCAGUAAUGAUCCUUCCGCAGGUUCACCUACGGAAA
This 224-nucleotide unclassified non-coding RNA is filed under the name uncultured fungus. Its description in RNAcentral is "sequence contains ITS1". The record is from RNAcentral. Lineage: Eukaryota; Fungi.